CCUACGGGAGGCAGCAGUGGGGAAUAUUGCACAAUGGGCGAAAGCCUGAUGCAGCGACGCCGCGUGAGGGAUGACGGCCUUCGGGUUGUAAACCUCUUUCAGCAGGGAAGAAGCGAAAGUGACGGUACCUGCAGAAGAAGCGCCGGCUAACUACGUGCCAGCAGCCGCGGUAAUACGUAGGGCGCAAGCGUUGUCCGGAAUUAUUGGGCGUAAAGAGCUCGUAGGCGGCUUGUCACGUCGGGUGUGAAAGCCCGGGGCUUAACCCCGGGUCUGCAUUCGAUACGGGCUAGCUAGAGUGUGGUAGGGGAGAUCGGAAUUCCUGGUGUAGCGGUGAAAUGCGCAGAUAUCAGGAGGAACACCGGUGGCGAAGGCGGAUCUCUGGGCCAUUACUGACGCUGAGGAGCGAAAGCGUGGGGAGCGAACAGGAUUAGAUACCCUGGUAGUCCACGCCGUAAACGGUGGGAACUAGGUGUUGGCGACAUUCCACGUCGUCGGUGCCGCAGCUAACGCAUUAAGUUUCCCGCCUGGGGAGUACGGCCGCAAGGCUAAAACUUAAGGAAUUGACGG
Molecule: ribosomal RNA, 567 nt
Filed under: uncultured bacterium
Lineage: Bacteria
Description: bacterial SSU rRNA
Rfam family: Bacterial small subunit ribosomal RNA
Source: RNAcentral